AACGUAGGAGACAAACGUUAUCCGGAGUUACUGGGCGUAAAGGGCGCGUAGGUGGUUUGAUAAGGGUGUGGUGAAAGUCCGGAGCUCAACUCCGGAUCUGCCGUGCCGACUGUCAAACUCGAGGGCUGUAGAGGCAGACGGAAUUCCGGGUGUAGCGGUGGAAUGCGUAGAGAUCCGGAGGAAGACCGGUGGCGAAGGCGGUCUGCUGGGCAGUUUCUGACACUGAGGCGCGACAGCGUGGGGAGCAAACAGG
Molecule: ribosomal RNA, 253 nt
Filed under: uncultured bacterium
Lineage: Bacteria
Description: partial 16S ribosomal RNA
Rfam family: Bacterial small subunit ribosomal RNA
Source: RNAcentral